CCACCAAAUUUCUUUUCAGGUGCUUUUUUUCCUAUCAAAGUGAUCAGCGGUGGGGGCGUGCGGUGGGGGUGGGGUUGGGGUUGAGGGGCAGACAGAAAUUGGCUGGAUCAGCUGCUAUUACCUUUGAUGUGAGUGACCCAGAUCAUUUUUUUUUUUUUUACAAAAAUAUGUUGGUAAAAACAGGUGGAGGGAGAGGUGGGUUAAUCAUUGUUAGCCAGUGAAAAUGGCUGACUUAUCUCCAGCACGGUGGGAAAGUUCAGCUGCAGGACCUUGAACUGUGCAUCUGUUGACCAGGUUGGGGGAGCGUGGUUCAUGUCUCAGGAUGAGCUGGACAUUUUGUCCACAGAAAAAUGCUGCAGGACACUCGCUUCACGGAAGGGAGACCCUUUCCAGGAGCAGGCUCUUGUCUAUCACUCGGAAGUGAGUUGUCCAAGGAGACAAAUGUGCUGACGAAGCAAGAGACUUUACUGGGCAGAGGCACCCAGGUGGAGAGCCGCAGGGCAAGGGGACCCAAGAGAACAGCUCUGCCACGUGGCUCACAGUCUCGGGGGUUUUAUGGUAAUGGGAUUAGUUUCUGGGUUGUCUCUGGCCAAUCAUCCUGACAAAGGAUCUUUCCUGAUGGCACACGCAUUGCACAUCCAAGAUGGAUUCCAGCAAGGAGAAUUCGGGAGAUUAUCUCCCAGUAUUCUUGCCUGGAGAUUCUCAUAGACAGAGGAACCUGGCAGGCUACAGUCCAUGGGGUCGCAAGAGUUGGACACGACUUAGCGACUAAACCUCCACCUCCAUAGGUUAUUAAAAGGUAUUGAAUAUGGUUCCCAGUACUAUACAGUAGGUCCAUGUUGUUUGUUUUAUAUACUAUUUUAUAUAAUAGUAUCUGCAUAUCUUUUUAAUUAAAAUAUUUUCAAAAGUAAUGUAUCCACAUAGUUAACAAAAAUUUCAGAGUUUGAAAGAUUGUUCAAUGAAGUCAGUUCUUCCUUCCAUCUCUGGGCACCUUCCAAACCUGGGUGCUGCCAGGACUCAGCCAAGAACUGAGGUACACGGGGAAUCAGAGAAGCACUUCGCAAUUCUCAAGUGGAAGUCAGCUCCCUACAGACAGCCUGUCAUCCAGCUGUGACUCAGAUUGGGGGAGGGGGUCGUCCCUUUCACCCUCUUCUCUUCCCCCUACUAUUUUUCUCUCUCGGCUCUGCCCUGUAGUCCUUUAAUCAACUCUUUCUUUAAUUUUCAGAAUUUUCAUCCCAACCAAAACACCCACGUUGUACAGUCAGUUAUUAGUCCUUCCCUCUUCCGGAGCCCAGCUAGAGGACAUAACUAGGAAAUUAGUAGUCUUGGACCCUGUUAACCCACACCUUACCCCCUCUGAGAGUUCCCAAAUGAGAACCGUGAUGCAGAGAAAAAGGAAGAGGUGAGGCCCAGAAUUGUCAUGAAAACAAACAAUGAGGUUUCUCCCCCUCCCCUCAGGCCUGGAGAGGGCCAAGGAACUAUUCUGAGCUAUGAAAACACAGAAGGGCUCCGCUAGGAAAUAAACAGCUGUCUAUCCCGCCAACGCCUGUCUCCCUAAACAUGAGUCCUGACAGUGCCUGAUCUCCAGCCAGAGAGUGGGAGAGAGAGGGAGAAGGCCGAGGAGAGCCUAUUGUGCCUCCCUUCUUUAGGAUGGAAGGAAAGAUUUGUUUUAUUUAGAAUAUUUUAAAGUUUUUCUGCACCGUAGUAUGUUUGAAGUGGAAGGGGAGGUGCUAGUGUCGUGUAAGUUCAGGGGAUCUCUCCAACCUUGAAUUCCAGAGAUCAGGAUGUGAGUUGCUCCCUCCUCAGCUCUGUGCAACUUCAACCUCCUCUGCUUUACUGGGAAGUCACCAUGACCUUCCCACUGUCAGGUCUGCUGGGUGACCUUUUCUCAUCCUUCCUCUGUUAGUCUUUUGGCUACACCUGACGCUUUUGACAGAUAACUGCCUUGAAACACACACACUCACUGUUUUCAGUGUUGCUGCAGCAAGCUCUGUUUUCCUUUCUCCUCUUCCUCCUCCCAUCAUCGGUCUGAUGUUAGGCCACCCUCUUGGAUCCCAACUGGCUGCCUCAUGCUAUGCAUGCUAAGUCACUUGUGUCUGACUCUCUGUGACCCCAUGGACUGUAGCCCACCAGGCUCCCCUAUUCAUGGGAUUCUCCACGCAAGAAUACUGGAGUGGGUUGCCAUUUCCUCCUCCAGGGGAUCUUCCCGACCCAGGGAUUGAACCUGAGUCUUCUGUGGCUUCUGCAUUGCAGGUGGAUCCUUUACCACUGAGCCACUGGGGAGGCCUCAUACAUCCUCCAAAUCUGAGUUCCUUCCAGAAAUGUUCUUCCUCCAGACUUCUCUGCUUUGUAGAUGCAUCUCUUCCUUCUCUGUCAUCCUACAGGCACUGAGCCUGACCACCUUUGAAUCAUCCUUGACACCUCAUCAGGCCUUGUCUGAUUUUCUUUUCAGGUGGCCACUCAUCAAUCCCCCUGC
This is a long non-coding RNA of Cervus elaphus (red deer), 2476 nucleotides long. RefSeq lists it as uncharacterized. The record is from RefSeq and is a predicted model, not a curated record. Lineage: Eukaryota; Metazoa; Chordata; Mammalia; Artiodactyla; Cervidae. The transcript is spliced from 3 exons.